Molecule: long non-coding RNA, 1890 nt
Organism: Manis pentadactyla (Chinese pangolin)
Lineage: Eukaryota; Metazoa; Chordata; Mammalia; Pholidota; Manidae
Exons: 2
Source: RefSeq, a predicted model, not a curated record
CAUGAAUAUUCAUUUUUGGUAAAGUUUCUUUUUUGGGGGAAAGUUGAAUUAAUACUUCUGGUUGUUGCAAACAUGAGGCUUGUGUUUUCUUUCUACCUUUAGUUACUUUUAAAGAAAUUUAAAGGUAACAAAAACCAUGUGAGAUAUUUUGCACAGUUCUAAAACACAUAGUAAUGCUUUAGUUCACUGUGCUUAAUUUAACUGGAUUUCUUCUUACUAACCUGAGGUACUUGUACAAUUUGACAAGCCCCUUGGGAAAUAUAUAUAUACCUCUUAUCUCUUACUGGUAUCUUACCUCUUAGUACCAGUACACCUCUUAACGGUGGUAGUCACAAUAUCCAUAUUUUUGCCCAUUCUUACUUUCUCUUGCCCUUCCCGUGCCCUUGUAGUACUUCCCCCACCCUGUUGGAGCACCUACCGCAACGCACACUGGAACAAGGUAGCUCCUUAUUUCCCUUGACUGCUGAGCUCGAGUAGGAAAGCUGGAGCUUUAAAGUCCUGCUGACCUGAGUUUAAUACUUUCUGUGCUUUGUUGUAGUUUGUGAACUCACAAGCACUUCAUCUCUCUGAGUCUCAAGUUUAGUUACCCUUCCAAUCACCUGUAUCAGGCAGCCAUGAGGAGUAAAGCAGCUCCCCCAGCGUGUGGCAGGCCAGAUGCAACACAGCUUGCUGACUUAGUUGUAUUGGAGUUUGUUAGAGAUUAUUAAAUCUAAUAUCUGUGUGAUGAUUAUAGAUGAUUAUAUUUCUAUGCUAAGAUACAAUUUUUCAACUUGGGAAAAUGUUUAUGGUAUUAUGAAGUAUAAAAGAACACAAAGUUAUACACUAUACUCAAAACUAAAAACUAUAAAAAAAACUAUGACAACAUGUUAAUACACUUCUGUCUUUGGCAAAAAUUUAAUUUUUUUCUUUCCUUUCAUUUUUCUAUAAUUUCCAAAUAUUAUAAAAUGAACACGACUAUUAUAUAGUAUUACAAAUUAUAUAACAUUAUUGUAACAUUAUUAUAUCUCCUAAUUUAAGGUGCUUUUUAUAUUUCAAAGAUUCCUAUAGAAGUGAAUAGCAUCCUAGAUUCAUAGUUACCCUCUCUUGUCAUAGAAGACCUUAAUUUCAGACUUCACUUAUUUUGUUUAAGUUUCCUUCUGUCAGAUUGCUGUUACUUAUGGGCUAUUGAGUUGGUGAUUAGAUUGCCUGAUUUUAUCUCUGAAGGCUUUAAGACUUGGCUACAUCUAGCAAGCCUAAGGACAGAUUGCUCUAAUUUAGUAUUCAGUAAUUCAGGUCUUUAUGGAUGAAAUUCCAUAUAAAGAACAGCAUUUGGUUUCCCCAUUGUUUUGUUUUGCUUGUGAUGGAGCAAUGCAAAAUUUCGGUGUGCUUUUUUGUUUACAAACCACAUGUGGGACUGUGAGGAGAAGCUGUAUUUUCAGUGUUGUCCAAGGGAUAGUGCUUUCAGUUCCCACAUAAUUCAUUUAUUUAGCAAAUAUCUACAUGUUCUAGGUAACAAGGAAACAGCAGUACGUAAAACUAAGACUGCUCUCAGGGAGCUUACCUUCAGGAAUUGGGAGGACUUUUGUUAAUAAAAAUAUCUGGUCAACAUGUAGAAUUACAUCUUUUAGUUAACCAGAUAAUCUUGACAAGGGAAAAAUGUAUUAAGUAAAAUGUUUACUGUUUGAACAAUAUUUUUAAAUAGUAAUAAAUUCAAUAAAUAAAAAUACUAGAAAACCAUAGUAAAACCAGUUCUAACUUUUUGAAGGUCUAUAAGGUAUGCUUGUAUUCACUGCACAAAUUGUGAUGCUCAAUGUGCUGAUGAAUCGUGAAAAUGUCAACACAGAGUUCCACAUGAAAGAAUGUCAUCCACUUACAGUUAUUCAACACCAUCAUCAUCUCUCUCUCUCUCUC